Molecule: ribosomal RNA, 1356 nt
Filed under: uncultured marine eukaryote
Lineage: Eukaryota
Description: SSU rRNA
Rfam family: Eukaryotic small subunit ribosomal RNA
Source: RNAcentral
CACUUCUAAGGAAGGUAGCAGGCGCGCAAAUUACCCAAUCCUGACUCAGGGAGGUAGUGACAAGAAAUAACAAUAAACCGGCUUAUGCCGGUUUAAUUGGAAUGAGUACAAUUUAAACAUCUUAACGAGGAACAAUUGGAGGGCAAGUCUGGUGCCAGCAGCCGCGGUAAUUCCAGCUCCAAUAGCGUAUACUAAAGUUGUUGCAGUUAAAAAGCUCGUAGUUGGAUUUCUGUGGGGACGGAGCGGCCGGCCGCAACACGCGGUUCGAGCUAGCGCUUUCCCUACAUCCUGCCGCGAACCGUGCUACCAUUAGUUUGGUGGCGCCGGGGAUCGGCUCGAUUACUUUGAGAAAAAUAGAGUGUUCAAAGCAGGCCACACGCCUUGAAUAAGUUAGCAUGGAAUAAUAACUAAGGACUUCGGUUCUAUUUUGUUGGUGUUCGGGACUGAAGUAAUGAUUGAUAGGGACAGUUGGGGCGGUCUGUAUUCCAAAGCGAGAGGUGAAAUUCUUAGACCUUCGGAAGACAAACAGCUGCGAAAGCGUUCCGCAAGGAUGUUCCCUUUGAUCAAGAACGAAAGUUGGGGGAUCGAAGACGAUCAGAUACCGUCGUAGUCUCAACUAUAAACUAUACCAGCUAGGGAUCGGCCAACGUUAUUCUAUACCGACUUGGUCGGCACCUUAUGAGAAAUCAAAGCAUCUGAGUUCCGGGGGGAGUAUGGUCGCAAGGCUGAAACUUAAAGGAAUUGACGGAAGGGCACCACCAGCCGUGGAGCCUGUGGCUUAAUUUGACUCAACACGGGAAAACUUACCAGGUCCAGACAUAGUAAGGAUUGACAGAUUGAUAGCUCUUUCUUGAUUCUGUGGGUGGUGGUGCAUGGCCGUUCUUAGUUGGUGGAGUGAUUUGUCUGGUUAAUUCCGUUAACGAACGAGACCCCAGCCUGCUAAAUAGCGCGUGUGAGCUUUGCUCGCAGCGGGCUUCUUAGAGGGACUAUGAUGCGCGAUAGCACAUGGAAGUUUGGGGCAAUAACAGGUCUGUGAUGCCCUUAGAUGUUCUGGGCCGCACACGGGCUACACUGGCGCCUGCAACGAGCAUAUCAGCUGGCCCGAGAGGGUCUUGGCUAAUCUUUUGAACCGGCGCCGUGCUUGGGAUUGACCUUUGCAAUUGUUGGUCAUGCAACGAGGAAUGCCUUGUAAACGCGAGUCAUCAGCUCACAUUGAAUACGUCCCUGCCCUUUGUACACACCGCCCGUCGCUCCUACCGAUGAAUGUUCCGAUGAAAUUUUCGGAGAGUGCCUGUGAACUUGGCUCUGCCUUGCGAACGGGAAGCUCAAAGUCACUUAAAUCUGAACAUUUCGAGG